AGGUCAGGACACGGUAAGGAUUGACGGACUGAAGGCUCUUUCUCGAUUCCGUGGAAAGUGGUGCAUGGCCGUUUUUGGUUGGUGGAUCGAUCCGUCUGGUUAAUUCCGUUAACGAACGAGACCUCGGCACUCCGAAUAGCGCGGCGGACGUCGCGGCCUCCGGGCCGUCUUCCGCACGAGCUUCUUAGAGGGACCGUCCCCCGCCGGGGAAGGAGGUGCGAGGCAACGACAGGUCUGUGAUGCCCUUAGAUGUUCUGGGCCGCACGCGCAUUACACUGACGCGUCCAACGGGUGACUCCCGACCCGAAGGGGCCGGGGAAUCCGCAAGGCGCGUCGUGAUGGGGAUUGAACGUUGCAAUUGUUGUUCACGAACGAGGAAUUCCUAGUAGGCGCGGGUCAUCAACCCGCGCCGAUUACGUCCCUGCCC
This 427-nucleotide ribosomal RNA is filed under the name uncultured eukaryote. RNAcentral's name for it is "bacterial SSU rRNA". It matches the Rfam family "Eukaryotic small subunit ribosomal RNA", at positions 1220 to 1658 of the family's 1831-position model. The record is from RNAcentral.